CGGGUACUGCCCGGCACGAGCUUAGCGAAAAUCCCUGAGGCGAUUCUUCAUCCAUGGGAGCUGUCCCUGAUCGGAUCCUGGUCUGAUACACAUGGCCCCCACCUGACGUACCUGGCGUCAGUGGAUAUUCCGGAAAACGACCAUGGCGGUCCCGCC
This 156-nucleotide unclassified non-coding RNA is filed under the name Sphingomonas sp. YR710. Its description in RNAcentral is "6S / SsrS RNA". Lineage: Bacteria; Pseudomonadati; Pseudomonadota; Alphaproteobacteria; Sphingomonadales; Sphingomonadaceae. The record is from RNAcentral.